Molecule: ribosomal RNA, 760 nt
Filed under: Salmonella enterica
Lineage: Bacteria; Pseudomonadati; Pseudomonadota; Gammaproteobacteria; Enterobacterales; Enterobacteriaceae
Description: partial 23S ribosomal RNA
Rfam family: Bacterial large subunit ribosomal RNA
Source: RNAcentral
UAUCACGGGAGACACACGGCGGGUGCUAACGUCCGUCGUGAAGAGGGAAACAACCCAGACCGCCAGCUAAGGUCCCAAAGUCAUGGUUAAGUGGGAAACGAUGUGGGAAGGCCCAGACAGCCAGGAUGUUGGCUUAGAAGCAGCCAUCAUUUAAAGAAAGCGUAAUAGCUCACUGGUCGAGUCGGCCUGCGCGGAAGAUGUAACGGGGCUAAACCAUGCACCGAAGCUGCGGCAGCGACACUGUGUGUUGUUGGGUAGGGGAGCGUUCUGUAAGCCUGUGAAGGUGUGUCGUGAGGCAUGCUGGAGGUAUCAGAAGUGCGAAUGCUGACAUAAGUAACGAUAAAGCGGGUGAAAAGCCCGCUCGCCGGAAGACCAAGGGUUCCUGUCCAACGUUAAUCGGGGCAGGGUGAGUCGACCCCUAAGGCGAGGCCGAAAGGCGUAGUCGAUGGGAAACGGGUUAAUAUUCCCGUACUUGGUGUUACUGCGAAGGGGGGACGGAGAAGGCUAUGUUGGCCGGGCGACGGUUGUCCCGGUUUAAGCGUGUAGGUGUGUGUUCCAGGUAAAUCCGGUUCACUUUAACACUGAGGCGUGACGACGAGGCACUACGGUGCUGAAGCAACAAAUGCCCUGCUUCCAGGAAAAGCCUCUAAGCAUCAGGUAACAUCAAAUCGUACCCCAAACCGACACAGGUGGUCAGGUAGAGAAUACCAAGGCGCUUGAGAGAACUCGGGUGAAGGAACUAGGCAAAAUGGUGCCGUAA